AUUACAAGCUGUAGAUUUAAAGUCUAAUUUCCUAGUGUCUUAGUCAGCUUUUUUAAAUGAAAGACUAAAAGGGGGCAUCCUCGUUGCCCCCUUUUCCAUUGCUUUAAUUGAAAUAAAAUGACAGUUUCAGCCACUAACCCUCUAGUGAUUAAACCUUUAGAUGAACCACUUCAUUGAAGCCCCUUCUUCCCAUUUCCCUGCUGACAAUCUGAAAGCUAAUGACUCUGGAGCAGCUACACCAAGCAAAUGAUCCAGCAGUGCCCCCAUGAGAGACUUCGUGGGAUUACAAUAUACUUACAUGAUAUUGAAACUAUGAAAAAGGUUUUGAUUGUUGUAGUAUCUUUUGCACAGGUGACUGUGUUAUGAAAAAUGCCUCAACUACAUGAAGAGUAGUGAGAAUUACUUCUGCAGGAAAAAUUGCAUCAAAGCAAUUGAGAGAAAAACUAAAUUAGUGUGUUUCCUUGGACACAGUCACUUUUUUAGUCCACAAAUUCUCUCUCUCACACACAAAUGACUUUUGGAAUUUUAAAAUGUUUAUUAAAAAAAUAGAAAAAUUGUAUUUAAAAAAAAAAAAAAAAAAAAAGUCAGUUGUUUACACAAUACAACCAGCCAUUAAAUGUACAGGAAGGAAUGAGCUGGGGGGAGAUUUGGUUCAUGUAACAACCUAGAUUAUCGUUUAAACAUAUUGCUAAAAAGCUGCACUGGGGGGAGGAGAAAAAAAAAAAAAAAAAAAAAAUAAAUAAAAACCUGACAGCAUCAUGUGUCCAUCAGUUUGGUACACGGCAUGUUACAAUAAUCUGACUUUCGAAACACGAGACUUUAAGUGAUUUUUACUCUUGCCUCAGCCAAAAGUCUUGUAACAAUAAAUCUCUGGUUUGCCAAGAACAAGUCGCUAUGUAAACUUUAGCUGUGAAACUGUCUUUGAAAUACUGACUUUAAAGAUGGCAGAGGAAAACCUCUGGAAAAAAUACAAGGCCCUCUUGCACAAAUCAACUAUUCUUAUCAAUUUAGGGGAAAAAAAAAAAAACAAAACCCACACACACCUCACGCACAUGCUGCUCAUGCUAACAAUCACUGACUGCGAUCGGAGUCUGCUCUCAGAGCUUACAUCUACAAGCUGUAUGGCAAAAAUAAACGUCCAACAGUUUUGUUGCCACUGACAAAACACAAAAGGCUCUGACUAUGUAACGGAGGAGGGUCAGAUUUGGUCAUUUAGAAAGGCAGUUACAUUGUUGCUUUAACAGAAUCAAAAAAGAUAUAAGGCAAGAAAACAAGCACUUUGCUGGUAAUAAAUAGCACCAACUUUUCUUGAACUAACAAGAUAUAACACUGCUAAAAAGGUGCAUUUCCCCAACACAGCCCAUCAAGAGGAAAUACUAAUGAAGAAAGCAAAAACAAACCCCCAAAUUAAGUGAUAUGUUUAAAAUGAGAACCAGUGGUGGGAGGAGCUAUAUUUGGACAGUUGGGAAAAUUUCAAGUGAUCAUAAAUCAAUGGUAAAUGACAAUAGUUAUGUGUUGGCAUCAUGGGAUUUUUGGCACAUUUCUCACAUUACACCAUAGCUCCCUCUUGUGUUGGAAAGCUGUAAACAGACAGUCCUAGGCCCUCAAAUCCUAUUGCACAGAUCAAUGUAGGCUAAUAUAAAAAGCAACCUUAUAGUGGCGAGAACUCCCUUAUUUAAAAAAAAAAAAAAAAAAGUGGAAUAAAUUAAAAACUGGUCAAUAUUGCACAGAAAUGCAACAGACAUAAUAUAAGGUGGCAAUGUUUACAGUACAGAACAAAACAGAGGUGCUAAUGUGUGUGGGAGGAGGAGACAUUAGUGAGGGGAAAAGUUUUUAAAACACAACAACCACCCAAUUAAAAAAAAAAAAAAAAAAAAAAAAAAAAAGGGAAGCAGACAACGGAUGAUGCCCAACACACACACAAAACACUUCGUACAUUCAAACAAGUCAUCACAGUUUGAGCACUUGCGAUAAGGUCCAUUUUUGUGCCGUCACACCAAAAACACUGUCAGCGUUGAGCUGCAUAGGUAGAAAGGUAGUGCUUCGAUCCAGAGUACAAGUUGUAGUAAUAGCCCUAGCUGUAGGGGCUCUUCAUGAAGAGUUCAGCUAAUAGGGUGUUGCAUUCACAAGAUCAAAUGAGCCCCCAAACCUGAUGAGAUGGGCCCCGACAAGAGUCAAAAGUUCAAGAGAUGCCAGGCUCGAUGAACCAGUUCAGUAAAAUGGCACACGAUGUUCAAA
Molecule: long non-coding RNA, 2238 nt
Organism: Astatotilapia calliptera (eastern happy)
Lineage: Eukaryota; Metazoa; Chordata; Actinopteri; Cichliformes; Cichlidae
Source: Ensembl